Non-coding RNA from Acanthosepion pharaonis, 108 nucleotides. Lineage: Eukaryota; Metazoa; Mollusca; Cephalopoda; Sepiida; Sepiidae. The record is from the annotation of a GenBank genome assembly.
UACAGCCAUAUCACAUUGAAACACAGGUUUUCAUACAAUCACCAAAGUUAAGCAAUGUCAAACCUGGUGAGUACUUAGAUAGGUAACCACUUGGGAAUACCAGGUGCU